Molecule: ribosomal RNA, 253 nt
Filed under: uncultured bacterium
Lineage: Bacteria
Description: partial 16S ribosomal RNA
Rfam family: Bacterial small subunit ribosomal RNA
Source: RNAcentral
CACGUAGGGCGCAAGCGUUGUCCGGAAUUAUUGGGCGUAAAGAGCUCGUAGGCGGUCUGUUGCGUCCGCUGUGAAAACUCGGGGCUUAACCCCGAGCCUGCAGUGGAUACGGGCAGACUAGAGGUAGGUAGGGGAGAAUGGAAUUCCCGGUGUAGCGGUGAAAUGCGCAGAUAUCGGGAGGAAUACCAGUGGCGAAAGCGACACCCUGGCAUUAGCCUGACGCUCAUGUGCGAAGGCGUGGGGAGCGAACGGG